This is a long non-coding RNA of Fopius arisanus, 786 nucleotides long. RefSeq lists it as uncharacterized. The record is from RefSeq and is a predicted model, not a curated record. The transcript is spliced from 3 exons. NCBI's taxonomy places the organism in Eukaryota, Metazoa, Arthropoda, Insecta, Hymenoptera, Braconidae.
AUGUCUUAUGACAAUUGCUGCUGACAGUUCAAAGACUUGAUCACAAUCCACUGAUUCUUUCUUCAUUUCCAUUUCUCUGCACCAUAAGAAUAUCAUUUCUGCGCUCCCAACGACUUCGGAAUCUCUUCAUGAGGCUAUAAAAAAAAAUAGCAAAUAAUAUGUUGAGAUAGCAAACACCAUGGCCGGAGGGUUAUUGAACGGAAAUGGAAAUCCUUGGACUGCUUGUGCUCUUCUAAGAAACUUGUGCCAAUCCUAACUACUCCUGAGGGGUGGGACCAUUUCUCCAGUGUACUUUCCACAUUUCUACAGAUCAGUCUGUAUUUGUACAUGCAAAAAGGGUACGAAAAUAUCAACCUAACCUCGAAGAGAUAGGAUGAAUAAAGAGUGGGAGAUUUAUUCAAACUGGGAGGAAUGUUGAAAGUUUUGUACGCGUUAGCAUUAGCACUAUUUACCCCAUGUGAUUGGUUGUGCUGAGGAAAUAAGCCGAUUUCUUCGUUGAAAGUCACGAAGAGGGAGGUUUCACUCCCAAAUAUCGUACAUUCCUCUUGCUCCCAAAUCUCAUUCCAGUUUUCUCCCCUAUGCGAGACGAUCGGCUCUAUUAAUUUAAUAUCCCUGGGAUUCUCUCUGUUCGCCUCUAUCUGAAGAACUUUUCCAUCUCCUGAUGAUGUUUUCGAAUAUCCGGUUGGGAUGGUGAAAGAAAUGCCGGGAGGAAAGGAAUUCGUCAGUUCUUCCGUUUGGAAAAUUAAAGAAUCUUUUUUUUUUCAUUCAAUAAUAAUAUUCAAUUAU